RNAcentral lists this ribosomal RNA (429 nucleotides) under Gemmatimonadota bacterium. RNAcentral's name for it is "Gemmatimonadetes bacterium partial 16S ribosomal RNA". It matches the Rfam family "Bacterial small subunit ribosomal RNA", at positions 355 to 776 of the family's 1533-position model. Lineage: Bacteria; Pseudomonadati; Gemmatimonadota. The record is from RNAcentral.
UAGGGAAUCUUCGGCAAUGGACGAAAGUCUGACCGAGCAACGCCGCGUGAGUGAAGAAGGUUUUCGGAUCGUAAAACUCUGUUGUUAGAGAAGAACAAGGACGUUAGUAACUGAACGUCCCCUGACGGUAUCUAACCAGAAAGCCACGGCUAACUACGUGCCAGCAGCCGCGGUAAUACGUAGGUGGCAAGCGUUGUCCGGAUUUAUUGGGCGUAAAGCGAGCGCAGGCGGUUUCUUAAGUCUGAUGUGAAAGCCCCCGGCUCAACCGGGGAGGGUCAUUGGAAACUGGGAGACUUGAGUGCAGAAGAGGAGAGUGGAAUUCAAUGUGUAGCGGUGAAAUGCGUAGAUAUAUGGAGGAACACCAGUGGCGAAGGCGGCUCUCUGGUCUGUACCUGACGCUGAGGAUCGAAAGCGUGGGGAGCAAACAGG